GUGUGGAUGGUGGCUGGAUGUUUGCACCAUUAGAAUGUUUGGGAAGUCGAUCACACAAAGGGUGGAAUUUUUUUCAGUAUCUCCAUUGGCAAGCUCAUUAGUUCAUUGGGUUGUAGGAAUUGUCUACAUGCUACAAAUAAGUAUCUUUGUUAGCCUUCUUCGAGGGGUCUUGCGUAAUGGGGUGCUUUACUUUCUUCGAGAUCCAGCAGAUCCCAACUACAACCCGUUCCGUGAUUUGAUUGAUGAUCCUGUACAUAAGCAUGCUCGUCGAGUUCUUUUGUCUGUUGCUGUCUAUGGAAGCUUAAUAGUGAUGCUCGUGUAUCUGCCUGUCAAACUUGCCAUGCGAAUGGCUCCAUCCAUUUUCCCACUUGAUAUCUCUGUAUCUGAUCCAUUUACUGAAAUACCUGCUGACAUGCUUCUCUUCCAAAUCUGUAUUCCCUUUGCGAUUGAGCAUUUUAAGUUGCGUACAACAAUCAAAUCUCUGCUCCGAUAUUGGUUUACUGCAGUGGGCUGGUCUCUUGGUCUAACUGAUUUCUUACUGCCCCGACCUGAGGAUAAUGGUAGACAAGAGAAUGGAAAUGGUGACCAAGGAAGGCAGGACAGGUUUCAAGCUCCGCAUGGUGUACCAGAUCGGGCCUUGGUAGGGUUUGCUCCUGAUAACAGAGCUAGGCAUGCAGCAGCUAGUUCCAACUUCGUAGAAGACUAUGACAAUGAAGAACAGGCGGAUCCCGACAGGUACGCCUUUGUGCUCCGUAUUGUGCUGUUGCUUGUUGUGGCGUGGAUGACUCUCCUACUUUUUAAUUCUGCCCUCAUCAUCGUACCGAUUUCACUUGGACGUGCGCUCUUCAAUUCCCUCCCAUUGCUUCCAAUAACUCAUGGAAUCAAGUGCAAUGAUUUGUAUGCAUUUGUAAUUGGAAGUUAUGCAAUUUGGACUGCCAUUGCUGGAGCGAGGUACUCAAUCGAUCAAGUUAGAACUAGGAGGGUUGCAGCUUUGAUGAACCAAAUAUGGAAAUGGUGUGUCAUUGUUCUGAAGAGUUCUGCACUGUUGUCAAUAUGGAUAUUUAUUAUUCCUGUGUUAAUUGGUCUGCUUUUUGAACUUCUGGUCAUUGUGCCAAUGCGAGUCCCCAUUGAUGAAAGUCCAGUCUUCCUUCUUUAUCAAGAUUGGGCUUUAGGACUAAUCUUUCUAAAGAUCUGGACCAGGCUGGUUAUGCUAGAUCAUAUGAUGCCACUGGUCGAUGAGAGCUGGCGACUGAAAUUUGAGAGGGUGAGGGAGAAUGGUUUCUCUAGGUUGCAAGGCUUUUGGGUGCUUCGGGAGAUAGUCCUUCCUAUCAUCAUGAAGCUGCUUACAGCAUUGUGUGUUCCAUACGUUUUGGCCAGGGGUGUGUUCCCAAUACUUGGUUACCCUUUGCUUGUGAACUCUGCCGUUUACCGAUAUGCUUGGAUUGGGUGUCUUGGUUUCAGUCUCUUCUGUUUCUGUGCAAAGCGUUUCCACGUAUGGUUCACCAAUCUCCACAAUUCAAUACGCGAUGACCGUUAUUUGAUUGGUCGAAGACUUCAUAAUUUUGGGGAAGAGGUACUUCAGAGGCAUAAUGAAGUAGAGGUGGGUGGAGAGGGCGAGAUCCCUCUACUGAAUGGGGAUGUCGAGGAGGUUGCUGAUAUAGGACUAAGACACAGGCGUGGUAUUAUGCAAGAUGCUUGAAGUCUGUACCAGACAUGAUCCUCAGCUGCUCAAUAAGGUUUAUGGAGGUGGAGGGGGGGGGUAAGGUUAGGCUGAACAAAUUGCAAAAUGGAUUAUUGUUAUUUUGCUUCUCAGAAGUAGAGAAACCAACUUGUAUUAGUUCUGAGCAGUUUCUCUAUCAGUAAUAUUUACUACUUGUGAAUAUGUACUCUUUUUACUUGGUGCUGACAUAA
RNAcentral lists this unclassified non-coding RNA (1911 nucleotides) under Hevea brasiliensis (rubber tree). The record is from RNAcentral. Lineage: Eukaryota; Viridiplantae; Streptophyta; Magnoliopsida; Malpighiales; Euphorbiaceae.